GCUCUUCCCCUCGUCACUCCCCUUCCCUAUAUUGGGUGUGUCCGGGCAACCGGACUAUGGGGAUAAACGCCCACGUAAUAAGCGGACUGGACCCGGGUGCGAUUCCCGGCGGCUCCACCAUCAUCCGGCCAUGGCUUUUUGGCAGGACCUAUGGGGCCGAUCAGCAUCGACAGACGUGUAAAGGUGAAGCUUUCCCCCGGCAUGGGCUCCCGCGAUCGGCCCAUUUUUUAAAUGCGAACGAUAACUUCGCUUCGGAAUACGCCCUCGCUGCGUAAUGCAGUCGGGUAAUUCCAAAUAAACUCCUGGGGAAUAAGCCCUCCAGGCGGGGCCCGCCGGACGCCUUGCAACAGAAGUCCGGCACU
RNAcentral lists this transfer-messenger RNA (362 nucleotides) under Asticcacaulis sp. It matches the Rfam family "Alphaproteobacteria transfer-messenger RNA". From Rfam's summary of the family: Bacterial tmRNA, also known as 10Sa RNA or SsrA, is named for its dual tRNA and mRNA-like properties. Its role is to liberate the mRNA from a stalled ribosome. Lineage: Bacteria; Pseudomonadati; Pseudomonadota; Alphaproteobacteria; Caulobacterales; Caulobacteraceae. The record is from RNAcentral.